This 73-nucleotide transfer RNA is filed under the name Candidatus Palibaumannia cicadellinicola. RNAcentral describes it as "tRNA-Ala". It matches the Rfam family "tRNA". Rfam says of the family: Transfer RNA (tRNA) molecules are approximately 80 nucleotides in length. RNAcentral also lists the same sequence under 2 other names. The record is from RNAcentral. Lineage: Bacteria; Pseudomonadati; Pseudomonadota; Gammaproteobacteria.
GGGGCUAUAGCUCAGCUGGUAGAGCGCCUGUUUUGCACGCAGGAGGUCAGCGGUUCAAUCCCGCUUAGCUCCA